AGAAACACCGGGAGGUGGAGGGAGAGAGAAGGGAGUUUGGGAAGGGGGGGGGGGAGGACAGGAUUCAGCGAUGCAGAAUGGCGUUCCGAAGCGCGGAAGGUAAUUCUAUACGACAGCCGCGAGGGUUGUCUGAAAGCAAGCGAGUAGAGGACGCCGUUGUCGUUUCCCUCUUCCCUCGCUGCGCGCUGUGCUGGUAUUGCUUCACGAAGCUUGACGACAAGGUUUUCUGUACAGAGGACGGCUGCGGUGUUUCUCACGACGGGAGGUUGGGGCCUCGGGCUCUUCCAGAGAGCCGCGACAAGAAGGAGACCCCGAAGCUGUUGGUCGAGGAGGAUCUCCCCAUCUCCGUCGGCCCUUCUUUCCUGCCGCUCUUGGCGGCCGAU
Molecule: long non-coding RNA, 383 nt
Filed under: Spirodela polyrhiza (greater duckweed)
Lineage: Eukaryota; Viridiplantae; Streptophyta; Magnoliopsida; Alismatales; Araceae
Description: long non-coding RNA (SPOL_LNC000856)
Source: RNAcentral